This 32-nucleotide non-coding RNA is filed under the name Rattus norvegicus (Norway rat). Lineage: Eukaryota; Metazoa; Chordata; Mammalia; Rodentia; Muridae. The record is from RNAcentral.
UAUGGAUGGAAUGGGUAGAAUGUUUCACCAUU